GGUUCCAUAGUGUAGCGGUUAGCACGCCUGCCUAGAAAGCAGAGAGCAUAGAGUCCUGGGUUGGAUUCCCAGAGGAACCA
This is a non-coding RNA of Cynoglossus semilaevis (tongue sole), 80 nucleotides long. The record is from the annotation of a RefSeq genome assembly. Lineage: Eukaryota; Metazoa; Chordata; Actinopteri; Pleuronectiformes; Cynoglossidae.